UACAGAGGGUGCAAGCGUUAAUCGGAUUUACUGGGCGUAAAGCGCGCGUAGGCGGCUAAUUAAGUCAAAUGUGAAAUCCCCGAGCUUAACUUGGGAAUUGCAUUCGAUACUGGUUAGCUAGAGUGUGGGAGAGGAUGGUAGAAUUCCGGUGGAGCGGUGAAAUGCGUAGAGAUCGGAAAGAACACCAACGGCGAAAGCACUCUGCUGGCCGACACUGACGCUGAGGCGCGAAAGCGUGGGGAGCAAACAGG
RNAcentral lists this ribosomal RNA (251 nucleotides) under uncultured bacterium. RNAcentral's name for it is "partial 16S ribosomal RNA". It matches the Rfam family "Bacterial small subunit ribosomal RNA", at positions 524 to 776 of the family's 1533-position model. The record is from RNAcentral.